Molecule: ribosomal RNA, 497 nt
Filed under: uncultured bacterium
Lineage: Bacteria
Description: partial 16S ribosomal RNA
Rfam family: Bacterial small subunit ribosomal RNA
Source: RNAcentral
GAUGAACGCUGGCGGCGUGCCUAAUACAUGCAAGUCGAGCGAACAGACGAGGAGCUUGCUCCUCUGACUUUAGCGGCGGACGGGAGAGUAACACGUGGAUAACCUACCUAUAAGACUGGGAUAACUUCGGGAAACCGGAGCUAAUACCGGAUAAUAUAUUGAACCGCAUGGUUCAAUAGUGAAAGACGGUUUUGCUGUCACUUAUAGCUGGCUCCGCGCCGCAUUAGCUAGUUGGUAAGGUAACGGCUUACCAAGGCAACGAUGCGUAGCCGACCUGAGAGGGUGAUCGGCCACACUGGAACUGAGACACGGUCCAGACUCCGACGGGAGGCAGCAGUAGGGAAUCUUCCGCAAUGGGCGAAAGCUUGACGGAGCAACGCCGCGUGAGGGAUGAAGGUCUUAGGAUCGUAAAACUCUGUUAUUAGGGAAGAACAAAUGUGUAAGUAACUAUGCACGUCUUGACGGUACCUAAUCAGAAAGCCACGGCUAACUACGUG